CUGAGGCAGUGUGCUAAGCUAAAUAAUUACCUCCCAGAUGUCUGCCUCCUAACCUCCUGCCGAUGAGUGCACUUGGUGUGGCAAGAACGACUUUUUUCCCCAAUGGAGAGAACUGAAGUCAGUGCCUCAAGCACACGAAGCUAGCUUAACUCUAAUGAGCUACGCCCACGGUCCCAAUAUCAAAUACUGCAAAGCAGCAAAAUCCACAUAUGGAAGACAUCAUUAUCAACAGAGUGUGUCCAAAGAUUGAUCUCCAUAGCAACCGUACCCCUGCUACACGUAAUGUCUAAGGUCUCAGAGUUAACACCACAUGCACGCAGAGCAUUGGUAUUAUGUAGUCCCGACUAUGGUUGCUGUAGAAACCUAAACUCUGGUCCCUGGCAGCAGAGGAGAGAAAGAAAACAAGAACAAAGGGUCCCUGCGAACCAACUCAUCACUCCUCUGCUCUCAAGAAUGGCGGCAUCGUCUGAGUACUCUGUUAAAGCCCUGCCUUGACAGCACUAAAGGACAUUUCUUCCACAGAAAGAUUUUUAAAUGAUGUCAAGUCUUUGAC
Molecule: long non-coding RNA, 553 nt
Organism: Mastomys coucha (southern multimammate mouse)
Lineage: Eukaryota; Metazoa; Chordata; Mammalia; Rodentia; Muridae
Exons: 2
Source: RefSeq, a predicted model, not a curated record